Molecule: transfer RNA, 85 nt
Filed under: Felis catus (domestic cat)
Lineage: Eukaryota; Metazoa; Chordata; Mammalia; Carnivora; Felidae
Also listed under: 2 other names
Rfam family: tRNA
About the family: Transfer RNA (tRNA) molecules are approximately 80 nucleotides in length. Their secondary structure includes four short double-helical elements and three loops (D, anti-codon, and T loops).
Source: Rfam by way of RNAcentral
GCCUAGGUGGCUCAGUCGGUUGAGCAUCCAACUUCAGCUCAGGUCAUACUCGCACGGUUUGUGGGUUCGAGCCCCACAUUGGGCU